AAGAAAAACUAUUUCUAUUUAUAUAAGAAAAAUUUCUAAGUAGUUUCAAACUUUUAAAUAUUUUUAUUUUUUGCAAUUUAUAUAAAUUUUAUGAUAAAUAUUUUAUUAUAAUAUAUUUUUUUAUAAAACUAUAAUAAUUAAAAUAUGUUAUUGUAUUUUAUUUUAAAAUAAUUAUCACAAGAUUUUGAUAAUUUUAAUUGUAAAUAUAAAUAUUUAUUUCUAUUUUGUUGUAUUAUUUCAAAGUAACGCAUUAAUUAAUUUUUGAAAAACAAAAAAAAAUACUGCAAAACCAAAAACCAAAAACCAAAAUCUAAAUCUAGAAACCAAAAACCAAAAGCUGGAAAACAAAAACCAAAAUCUAAAAACUAAAAACUAAAAUCUAAAAACCGAAAACUAAAACUAAAAACUACAGAAACAAUCAUCACCUAUAUAUAGACCCAACCACAUUCCUCUAUGUUCCUCAUAAAUAGAUGAAUUAGUGAAGAAGUAUUUUCCUCUUCUAAAAUUGAUAAGUAACGUUUGUUCUUCAAUGUUGAAUUUUUUUUUUUUUCAAUUCAAUUCUUUGAAUGAAAGUUUUUCAAUUUUUUCCUGUACAUGUUGUUAAUUUUAUUUAAUUAACUCUUCAAUAUUCAAUUUCUUUACUAUGGAGCUUAAUACUUUAACUAAUUAUUAAUUUUUAUCUAUUUUUGUACAUUAAUUUUUAAAUUAUAUUUAUUUUAUUAUUCAAACAAUUUUUAUCUUAAUAAUUUUUUAAAAAAAAUUUAAUAAUGAGAAUAUUUGAGAACUACUUUUUUUUUUUUUUUUUUUUAUAAUAAUUCCCCAAGUUUUAUAGAUUUCGACAUCAACAAGUUAACAACAAUGAAAAUUUGGUCUCAGAGAGUUUAAAAAAACUAUGGACCCCAUGCGCAUGUUUCUUAGGAAUGGUCCAAGACAGGCACUGGCAAGCCCUUAACAAGAUUAACAUACUUUUCUCUGGAUGUCGUCUCGUCUGCAUCACCCGGCAGGAUAAGAAACUUUGCGGUUCGCCCCCUAUGGCAGGCAAGUGUAUCUAUGAACUCUGGAAGGAAUAUAAUAAUAAUCUUUUCCACAAUGGUGUUUAAUCAGAAACAAAAUUACUGCUCUUCACAAAGCGGGCAAAAAGUGGGAAUUAAUCAGAGAGGGUUGGGUUUUGGUCCUCGGUUUAACUAUUUACCAUUAGACUUUUGUUUCUUUUCACUAUGUAUACCUUUCGCCACUAGAUGGCCAUCCCCCUAUUUCUC
This 1259-nucleotide long non-coding RNA is filed under the name Brassica rapa (field mustard). RNAcentral describes it as "long non-coding RNA (BRAP_LNC000553)". The record is from RNAcentral. Lineage: Eukaryota; Viridiplantae; Streptophyta; Magnoliopsida; Brassicales; Brassicaceae.